AGAGCAUGUGGUGGAUGCCUUGGCGAUUACAGGCGACGAAGGACGUGAUAGCCUGCGAUAAGCUUCGGGGAGCUGGCAAAUAAGCUUUGAUCCGGAGAUUUCCGAAUGGGGAAACCCACCCUUAGGGGUAUCGCAUGAUGAAUACAUAGUCAUGCGAGGCGAACCGGGUGAACUGAAACAUCUCAGUAGCUCGAGGAAAAGACAUCAACCGAGAUUCCGAAAGUAGUGGCGAGCGAAAUCGGAAGAGCCUGCUAGUGAUAGCACGACUGUUAACGGAACGGCUUGGAAAGGCCGGCCAUAGCGGGUGAUAGCCCCGUACGUGAAAACAGACGUGUGGUACUGAGCUAGCGACAAGUAGGGCGGGACACGUGAAAUCCUGUCUGAAGAUGGGGGGACCAUCCUCCAAGGCUAAAUACUCGUAAUCGACCGAUAGUGAACUAGUACCGUGAGGGAAAGGCGAAAAGAACCCCGGGAGGGGAGUGAAAUAGAUCCUGAAACCGCAUGCUUACAAAAAGUAGGAGCCCGCAAGGGUGACUGCGUACCUUUUGUAUAAUGGGUCAGCGACUUACAUUCAGUGGCAAGCUUAACCGAAUAGGGAAGGCGUAGGGAAACCGAGUCCGAAUAGGGCGUCCAGUCGCUGGGUGUAGACCCGAAACCAAGUGAUCUAUCCAUGGCCAGGAUGAAGGUGCCGUAACAGGUACUGGAGGUCCGAACCGACUAGUGUUGCAAAACUAGCGGAUGAGCUGUGGAUAGGGGUGAAAGGCUAAACAAACUUGGAAAUAGCUGGUUCUCUCCGAAAACUAUUUAGGUAGUGCCUCAAGUAUUGCCAUCGGGGGUAGAGCACUGUUUAGGCUAGGGGGUCAUGGCGACUUACCAAACCUAUGCAAACUCCGAAUACCGAUGAGUACAGCUUGGGAGACAGAGCACCGGGUGCUAACGUCCGGACUCAAGAGGGAAACAACCCAGACCGCCAGCUAAGGUCCCUAAAACGGGCUAAGUGGGAAACGAAGUGGGAAGGCUAAAACAGUCAGGAUGUUGGCUUAGAAGCAGCCAUCAUUUAAAGAAAGCGUAAUAGCUCACUGAUCGAGUCGUCCUGCGCGGAAGAUGUAACGGGGCUAAGCCAGUUACCGAAGCUGCGGAUUUGCACGCAAGUGCAAGUGGUAGGAGAGCGUUCUGUAAGCCUGUGAAGGUGUCUCGAGAGGGAUGCUGGAGGUAUCAGAAGUGCGAAUGCUGACAUGAGUAGCGUUAAAGGGGGUGAAAAGCCCCCUCGCCGUAAGCGCAAGGUUUUCUACGCAACGUUCAUCGGCGUAGAGUGAGUCGGCCCCUAAGGCGAGGCAGAGAUGCGUAGCUGAUGGGAAACAGGUCAAUAUUCCUGUACCGAUGUGUAGUGCGAUGUGGGGACGGAGAAGGUUAUCUCAGCCGGGUGUUGGAUGUCCCGGUUCAAGCCUGUAGUCGUGCCUGGUAGGUAAAUCCGCCGGGCUUAGAUGAGAGGUGAUAACGAGGCGGCUUGCCGCCGAAGUGAGUGAUACCCUGCUUCCAGGAAAAGCCACUAAGCUUCAGCUACACACGACCGUACCGCAAACCGACACUGGUGCGCGAGAUGAGUAUUCUAAGGCGCUUGAGAGAACUCGGGAGAAGGAACUCGGCAAAUUGACACCGUAACUUCGGAAGAAGGUGUGCCCUUAGUAGGUGAAGUCCCUCGCGGAUGGAGCCCAAUGGGGUUGCAAAAAAUCGGUGGCUGCGACUGUUUAAUAAAAACACAGCACUCUGCAAACACGAAAGUGGACGUAUAGGGUGUGACGCCUGCCCGGUGCUGGAAGAUUAAGUGAUGGGGUGCAAGCUCUUGAUCGAAGUCCCAGUAAACGGCGGCCGUAACUAUAACGGUCCUAAGGUAGCGAAAUUCCUUGUCGGGUAAGUUCCGACCUGCACGAAUGGCGUAACGAUGG
RNAcentral lists this ribosomal RNA (1946 nucleotides) under Comamonadaceae bacterium URHA0028. Its description in RNAcentral is "bacterial LSU rRNA". It matches the Rfam family "Bacterial large subunit ribosomal RNA", at positions 14 to 2010 of the family's 2925-position model. The record is from RNAcentral. Lineage: Bacteria; Pseudomonadati; Pseudomonadota; Betaproteobacteria; Burkholderiales; Comamonadaceae.